AGCAUUGAAACAUUGAUUCCUGUACAAUCACCAAAGUUAAGCAAUGUCAAGCCUGGGCAGUAUCUAGAUGGGUGACCAUUUGGGAAUACCAGGUGCUGGAA
Non-coding RNA from Acanthosepion pharaonis, 101 nucleotides. NCBI's taxonomy places the organism in Eukaryota, Metazoa, Mollusca, Cephalopoda, Sepiida, Sepiidae. The record is from the annotation of a GenBank genome assembly.